Molecule: long non-coding RNA, 687 nt
Organism: Vidua chalybeata
Lineage: Eukaryota; Metazoa; Chordata; Aves; Passeriformes; Viduidae
Exons: 2
Source: RefSeq, a predicted model, not a curated record
GUCUGCGAAAGAAGCUGCGUACCCUCUGCGGCGAAGAGAGAUAGAGCUCAACCCCCUUGGACUGGUGAAAACAUCUGUGGUCAUCUUGGGCUAUUUCUCUUGUGCUGGGGAGUGUUUUUUCGUUGUGCCUUAAUAAACAAGUUUUUUCCACUUUCCCCUCUGAAGGAAUUCCUCCCGAACCCGGUGGUGGGGGGGAGGUUGCGGAGGGUUUGGUUUCCUAUAGGGGGCUCCUUUGGAGGUGUUUUCCCCUAAUUUGUCCAAAACCAGGACAAAUAAUUUGGUGGCCCGUACGGGGAGGCCCAGACAAAGUGGAAAAAACUUUAUUCUAAUAAUAUUUUUGGCUUUAACCGUUCUGCGGGAAUAUUGGUAUGUCUUUCUUUAAAGUUAUGAUGUCAUUGGGAGUGAAAGCCUGCCUCUAUUUGUGGUCAUUAGGGUUCUUCGAAGUUUUGAUCGCUUUAUGGUCCCUGGAGUUAUUUUCUUAUCCAGAAGUAGCUCCGACAUCGGACCUACUCCGGGCAGGAGCUCCCCCGGGGUCUGCGAAAGAAGCUGCGUACCCUCUGCGGCGAAGAGAGAUACAGCUCAACCCCCUUGGACUGGUGAAAACAUCUGUGGUCAUCUUGGGCUAUUUCUCUUGUGCUGGGGAGUGUUUUUUCGUUGUGCCUUAAUAAACAAGUUUUUUCCACUUUC